Long non-coding RNA from Ctenopharyngodon idella (grass carp), 4548 nucleotides. RefSeq lists it as uncharacterized. Lineage: Eukaryota; Metazoa; Chordata; Actinopteri; Cypriniformes; Xenocyprididae. The transcript is spliced from 3 exons. The record is from RefSeq and is a predicted model, not a curated record.
UGAAAAAGGCACAUUGGGAGAUAUAAAUUUGUAAUUGGGAGAUAAAGUCACAGUUUUUGUUUGUUUUUAUUAAUUAAUUUAUUUUUACUCUGAGGCGGAAAUAGGCUCUCAUGUAAACAACCUAUUAAAUCCACAAAAUAAGUUGCAUAAACAUUAGCUCAUUGCAGAGACUGUAUUGAGGGAAUGCUGUGUGGGCUGGGAAAAGUGUGAAUUUGUUUAUGUGAAUGUGUUUGUGUGUGUGUGUGUGCGUUCAACCUAAUUUACAUCGCCAGACAGUGAGAAUGGCCUUGAACUUGACCUCAGGUCUAUUCUCUUGUUCCUCUCCUCCUUCUCACCCUUAAACUCUCAUUGUUGCGUUGUCUGCAUUGACUCCUCUCUCCAGUCCCUCGUCAUUCACACCAGCACGGCGGGCUGUGGUGACCUCGUCCCUGCCGCACACGCCCAUUGGGGCUGUUCGCUUUCCCAUGAGGCAAAUCCAGGGUUCGAAUUCCAUUCCCACAUCCUCCAUUUUGUAUUUACUUGCUUUUUUUUUUUUUUUUUUUUUUUUGUAGCCAAGUGACUUCAGUAGCUUGAACAGGAUUUGCAAACCAGGCAGACAGCGAGUCAGACGCAGCUCAGGACUGGAGUGGAGCUGUCGAAGACACAAUGAAAUGGUGAUUCAUGAGGAUAUAAGUGCUGCUUGAUAAAUGAUAUCCUAGUAAUCAUUAACUCUGCUUUCCCAGAUUUCAUCACAAUGACCAAACUGUUUAGUAACCACUAACAUAUUACAAUGUGUCUGAUAUUGGGUUUGUGUGCACAUUUGUUCGAAUCUCAAAGCUUUAGAUGACAACAUAACAGCCUAUUAACAACUUAACUUGGGUAUAAUUAUUUGAACAGGCAUUUAUAUGUUAAAUUGUGGAUAUUAAAUUAUUAAUGCAUUGUCCUAUUUUUUCUUUCAGGAUUUAUCAUCUAUAUUUUUAUAUAGUACCAUCAGUAUUUGGAAUCUUUGGACAUUUCUUUUAGAAUUUCACAUAUUUUCUUUGUCAUCACCAUGAUAAAACUGGUAUUAGAGCCUCACAACUAUGUUUGACAUUAACAGCUUUAUAGUUUUGAUGUAUAAUUUUACUCAAAAAUGAAUAUUUAAAUCUAAACCAGAUUUAAUGAUGAUCGCAGUCAGUCUUUUUGUUUGGCCCCUUUGUCAUUGACCCCAGCAAAUCGAAGAGCAAUAUUUUUUUUAUUGACAAAGUAAUGUAAGUGUUGAUGUACAGAGCAGUUAGCAGAUAGUGAUGACAGGAAUUGUUCAACAUUUGAUUACUGAGGUAGAGAUUUAAAGACAGUUAUCAGCAUGAGCUGGGAAUCAAAGCUGCGUCCGAAAGCUAAAAAUGCUGUCUUCACAAACAGCAUAUGGAGGAAGCCUACUAAGAUGCCUUCAUCUGGUUGGUUUUGAAGGCUGCAGAUGCAUUCUUGACUGCCAGUGAUGUCCCACAAUCCUGCGCAUAUGGUUUGGCAGUUGGUGGAAAAAAUGGUGUCAGUUGAAAGAGCUCAGAGGGCACAGUGAUGACCAUUUGCUGCACACUGUCUCUUUCACUUCUAAGUUUGCAGCAAACGAACACCUCAGACGGCUGUAACUCAUGCAGGCCGCAGCGAGUGCCAGGUUGGGAGAUUGAGGCUGAAGUUGACGGUGCUUUUGCGCUUGGUACAACGUGGAACUGAAGCAAAGAGGAGGCAUGUGACACAACCUAAGCCCGGAGAACUCCAGAGUUUAGUCGCUCCACGCGGUUCAGACAAGCAACUCGAGGUGUGCAGGUGAUUAAGAAUGCAAGGAGGCGAGAGCUGAUCAAACACCCACAUUUGUCCGUAUUUAUGGUCUGGCAAUGACUCUAUCUUUGUUUGGUUGUCGGAAAAUAAGUGUGAGUGGAAGUUUGGACAUGAUGGUCAAGCUGGUAUCUCUAAGCCAAAUGUGUCGCAAAAAAAAAAAAAAAAAGCGCAUUGGCUUUCAUUCUUUCUUUCGUGAUUUCCCUCUCUCCCUUCGGUUGUCUUCCCUAAAUGAAUGCUCAUUGGAGUGUUACUGUGUCUCUGUCUCCCUCCUCCUGUCCCAGCUGAAUAGAAGAGUGAAUUGAGCAAACAGUCAGCCUGUCAGCUCAAUAGGCAGUCUGACCAUGAACUCCGAGUCCUUCCCAGGCACCCAGCAUCAUCGUCAGGAGGGGGAGGGAGAGACGGGAGGGGGGUGGGAGGGCAGACAGACUCAGACUUUGGGGGGCCCCGGUGCCCAUUUUUUGGGGGAGCCUCGUCGUGGUGGUUCCCAAGGCUGGUGCCUACGUUAAGAGGCGAGAGCAGCUGCUCAGAAAAGAGGAGCCUUGUGUGUAUGUGUGUGUGCAGACGGGAGAGUGUCUGCCCCUUUGCCCAAGCCCCAGCCACCUCGCACGCUCCCAGACGCAAGCUGCUGCAGAUUCUUCGCUCCUUUUUUUUUUAUCUGAUGUGCUUUGGCUUUGUUUUUAUUGUGCAUAAUUUACUGUGCCGUCCCUCUCAGCCGCUCUUCCCCCAGUUUGCCACCUGUUUACUGUGGUGCACUUAGAUUACUGAAAACAAUGACAUGAUUGUAGACCCAGUGUGACUGCAAUCCUGUAAUUCUCUGCUACCUGCAUAAAGAGUUUUAUCACUCUUGAACAAUUGAAUCCUUGUUUUGGAAUUUAAAAAAAAUUGAAAUUGCAUUUUUAUGUGAUAAAAGUGGAAAAGAGGAAAUUAUUGUUUCAUUGCUGCUGUCAUUUUGCUAGAUGGUAUUUUUUUGGACGGAUACAUUUGUUGUUUGUUGUGGGAAAACUCUUUAUGUAGCUGUUCUGCAAGUUUGAUUUUCUCACAUUAACAUCCAUUUUUAAGUGGUUGCACUAGAUAUACACUACCGUUAAAAAAUUUGGGGUCAAAAAGAAUCUUUAAAAAGAAAUUAGUACUUUUAUUCUAUAAGAAUGCUUUAAAUUAAUAAAACGCGACACUAAAGAUAUUUAUCAUGUUACAAAAGAUUUCUAUUUCAAAUAAAUGCUGUUCUUUUGAACUUUCCAUUCAUCAAAGAAUCCCGAAAACAAUGUACAGCACAACUGUUUUAAACAUUGAUAUAAUAAGAAAUGUUUCUUGAGCACCAAAUCAACAUAUUAGAAUGAUUUCUGAAGGAUCAUGUGACACUGAAGACUGGAGUAAUGAUGCUGAAAAUUCAGCUUUGCCAUCACAGGAAUAAGUUACAUUCUAAAAUACAGUAUAUUCAAAAAAAUAAUAGCAAAAAAAAAAGUGUUAUUUUAAAUUGUAAUAAUAUUUCACAAUAUUACUGUUUUCACUGUAUUCUUAAUCAAAGUGCAACCUUGGGGAGCAUAAGACAUUUCUUUCAAAAAUAUAAAAAAACGUACUGUCCCAAACUUUUGAACGGAAGUUUAUAUUUGGCAAUAAAAGUUACUGACUGUAAAAAAGUUGAUAAUAAUCAGAAUACAAUGCUACACUUACAAAAAAUCUACUAAAAAAUAUGUUUUUGGACAUGUGCCAUGGUACUAUCAUUGUGUCAUAUAAUGGGGGUACCAACUAAAUACCAUGGUACCAUAGUGUUGCCAUGAAAUACUAUCACAGUACAACAUGCUACCAGGGCGGCACAGUACUUUUUGUAAGUGUAUACAGCUAACAUACACCUCCUUCUCUUAAACCGAAAGACUGAGCUUUGAACAUCGCUAUUAACAUGCUAGUCCUCCACUGUAUCUCCUAGCUGGCUAUUGUCUGGACUUUCAGUGAUGGGACCUGAACAAAGGCAGCCCUCUGAGAGAAUGAAGGACAAUGGCCUGUAUUGUUUACUUAGCUACCUCACUUAAUCAGGCACAGCCAGCUCUAAUUGGUGUUUUGGUUAAGCGGUUUUUAAACUUAUAGCUUCCUGGCCUUAAUAACAGUGCACCACGGCAAGCUUGCCAUGGAGAACAAUACUGGACUUGUCUGGCCCGCGACUCUUAGAAACCAAGAUGUACUAAAGAGAACCCGUCCUUAUUGAGACUCUCCAUCACACUCCCUCCUUCUACUACUCCGACUUUGCUCUCUCUUAGCUGGUUUUUGCUGUUAGUUUGUCUUUAAAUAUAUGCUAAAUAAUCCAAGAUGUUAGCUUAUGGUUUCUAUAGUUAUGUAAGACUAACCGUUUUGCUCAUUCAAGCUCCUCUCUCAUGGGAAAGCUAAUAUCAUGACGACUAUGGCUGAAAGAUGGAGAGAAGGCUUGCUGUUCUUCUCAAUAAUGGCAGCACGCCAUCGCCGUGGCUGGCAUGGUACGGCGACGGGGCAGCAGAAUCCCUGAUGGCGAUCUAUUCAACGUUGAUGCCCGCAGAUGCAGCUCUGCUUCAGCCAUUGUGCCGGGGAAUGAUUUAAUGCAAACGACUACAAAACAUCUCCCCACCCCCUUCAGCGCCUAUCACAACCAGGACGUGUGAUAUUCACAAUUAACAAACACAUCUGCUGUAAUGAACAGUGCCUUCGAGCAGGGGGAGAGAGAGGGGACAGUGUGUGUAAAAGAGAGAGAGAGAGAGAGGAGGGUGUGAGACACAGGAGAGUGAU